AUGAACGCUGGCGGCGUGCCUAAUACAUGCAAGUCGAGCGAACAGACGAGGAGCUUGCUCCUCUGACGUUAGCGGCGGACGGGUGAGUAACACGUGGAUAACCUACCUAUAAGACUGGGAUAACUUCGGGAAACCGGAGCUAAUACCGGAUAAUAUAUUGAACCGCAUGGUUCAAUAGUGAAAGACGGUUUUGCUGUGACUUAUAGAUGGAUCCGCGCCGCAUUAGCUAGUUGGUAAGGUAACGGCUUACCAAGGCAACGAUGCGUAGCCGACCUGAGAGGGUGAUCGGCCACACUGGAACUGAGACACGGUCCAGACUCCUACGGGAGGCAGCAGUAGGGAAUCUUCCGCAAUGGGCGAAAGCUUGACGGAGCAACGCCGCGUGAGUGAUGAAGGUCUUCGGAUCGUAAAACUCUGUUAUUAGGGAAGAACAAAUGUGUAAGUAACUAUACACGUCUUGACGGUACCUAAUCAGAAAGCCACGGCUAACUACGUG
RNAcentral lists this ribosomal RNA (496 nucleotides) under uncultured bacterium. RNAcentral's name for it is "partial 16S ribosomal RNA". It matches the Rfam family "Bacterial small subunit ribosomal RNA", at positions 29 to 507 of the family's 1533-position model. The record is from RNAcentral.